Molecule: ribosomal RNA, 409 nt
Filed under: uncultured bacterium
Lineage: Bacteria
Description: bacterial SSU rRNA
Rfam family: Bacterial small subunit ribosomal RNA
Source: RNAcentral
GUGUCAGCCGCCGCGGUAAUACGGAGGAUCCGAGCGUUAUCCGGAUUUAUUGGGUUUAAAGGGUGCGCAGGCGGGAUGUUAAGUCGGCGGUGAAAUUUUGCAGCUCAACUGUAAAAGUGCCUUCGAUACUGGCUUUCUUGAGUGUGGAUGAAGUAGGCGGAAUUUGUUGUGUAGCGGUGAAAUGCUUAGAUAUCACGAGGAACUCCGAUUGCGCAGGCAGCUUACUAAACCACUACUGACGCUCAUGCACGAAGGCGUGGGGAUCAAACAGGAUUAGAUACCCUGGUAGUCCACGCAGUAAACGAUGAUUACUAGUUGUUUGCGAUACAAUGUAAGCGACUGAGCGAAAGCGUUAAGUAAUCCACCUGGGGAGUACGUUCGCAAGAAUGAAACUUAAAGGAAUUGGCGG